RNAcentral lists this ribosomal RNA (402 nucleotides) under uncultured bacterium. RNAcentral's name for it is "bacterial SSU rRNA". It matches the Rfam family "Bacterial small subunit ribosomal RNA", at positions 28 to 423 of the family's 1533-position model. The record is from RNAcentral.
GACGAACGCUGACGGUGUGCUUUAGACAUGCAAGUCGAACGAGAAAGCCCUUCGGGUGAGUACAGUGGCGAACGGGUGAGUAACACGUGGGCAACCUGCCCCUCGCAGGGGGACGAACCGGAGGAAACUCCGGCUAAUACCCCGUAAGCUUGUUGGGUCGCAUGACCCUUCAAGGAAAGGUAGCUUCGGCCAUCCGGCGAGGGAUGGGCCCGCGGUACAUUAGCUAGUUGGUGGGGUAACGGCCCACCAAGGCGACGANGUAUAGCUGGUCUGAGAGGAUGAUCAGCCACACUGGGACUGAGACACGGCCCAGACUCCUACGGGAGGCAGCAGUCGGGAAUCUUGCGCAAUGGGCGAAAGCCUGACGCAGCAACACCGUGUGAGCGACGAAGGCCUUCGGGU